Molecule: non-coding RNA, 2208 nt
Organism: Kogia breviceps (pygmy sperm whale)
Lineage: Eukaryota; Metazoa; Chordata; Mammalia; Artiodactyla; Physeteridae
Source: RefSeq, a predicted model, not a curated record
GACAGCGCCCACGGCGGCCGCCAUCUUGGAGGAGGGCAAAGACGCUCCCGGCCCUCCCGCCCCUCCGCUCGCCUCAGUCGCCACCGCCAUCGAGGAACAGGAAGUAUUAUCAGUUCCUAGCGGGUAGAGGAUGUUUCUGACACACCUUAUAGCAUCUCCGAGUGCUAGAAGAACAGAGCUGACCAUAAGGAUCAGGUACUGUGCAUGAGCUCUUUUAGUUUUUAUAACGAUCUGUGAAGGAGGAAAUAUAAUUUCUCUAAUUUUAUAUGUGAUGAAACUGAAGCACAAGCUAUACAACUUCAGUGAGAAGCAGAGCUGGAACUGAUUCCACUUGGCUGAUUACCCAGGUCAGCUAGAUCCUACCCUCGUAUCCUGCAGUGCUUGCUUUCAGUGAACAGAAUAUCUACAGUAUUGUUGGAAUACUCAAGACCUGGGGGGGCCCCCACCAUCUGAUAUCUGAAAACAGACUUUCUGUGAAGCAGGAAUGAUGAUUUCCUGAGAACAAAUGCUUCACUAUCAAGACAUGGAAAGAUAGCACUCGGCUGCUAGUAACAAAUUGCACCAAAGUUACAAAUGCAGAACAAGCCUUGGUAAAUAUUAAUGACGAUGAUGAUUUUGUGACAUACUGAAAAUGUCAGAUUUUAGCAUUAUGAGCGUACUGUAGAUACUAGAAUGUAAUUGAACCAAAAUGAUGCUCGAGAGAAAUUUUGAAGUAAAUGUGCAAAUUAGGCUAUCUAGUAUAAACUAGAAGUGCCUAAGUCAUUCUUUUCCUUAGUAAAGCACAACCAAGUAAGGCUUUUUUUUGGCUGCUCUGUGCAGCAUGUGGAAUCUUAGUUCCCUGACCAGGGAUCGAACCCGUGCCCCCUGCAGUGGAAGCGUGGAUUCUUAACCACUGGACCACUAGGGAAGUCUCCCAGCAUGUAAGCCAUUUAUGCAGCAGAGCAUUUGUUUUUAGUUUCUGAGAUCUGUUUGGGUCAUCUAUAACUGGUGGCAUGGAAAGGAAAAGAAGGCUGCAAAGACUGAACAAACAGCAUGCACUGUGGUAGCCUUUAUUUAAAAAUUGUGAGCUAACUACAGUUGUAGUGUUCUCAGUUACCAUUCUGAUGGUAUAAUAAACUGGGAGAACAUUAACACAACUUCAAGAAGGCAUCAAAAAAACCUGUAAACAAACAUAAACACCACACAUGCGCGCACAUAUACAGCAUACACGCACACAAAGAUUAUAGUCUAAACAAUCAAAAGUGAUGAAGAAAAGCUUUGAAUGCUCUAAAUCAAAUUUAAAACACUUAUAAUAAACUGUGGCAAUACUGUGGCUAUAUGAAAAAUGUUGUAACUGCUUAAAAAGCAAAAAGAAAAAUACUGGCAAUUUGAAACUAGCAGCAAGAAGCAGAUAAAAAUAGAAUGGAAGAUAACAUAAGACUAAGUAACAUCAAAAUUCUAAUGUUGAUACUGUGUAGGAUUGCACUGAAGUAAUUUAAAAUUGGUUCUUAAGGAACUCUCAAAAAGUCCCUUGAAAUAUUAAACUGCUGCGCUUUACAAGCAGUGGAAAAGAAAAAAAGUAUUUGGAAUGUAACACACACACACAGAGGAAAUGUAUUAGGCAUUAUCAGUUUAUGGUCUUUGUUUAUGCCCUUCAAAAAGUUUUAUAAAGAAAAAUAUAAGUGCCAAUGUAGUGAAAGAAAGUUAAAAAUUCCUAAAGAUGCAAGUCUGAGUGCAUUUAUCAGGUUAAGAAUAUAUUUCAAGGUUGGGGGGCAAGGCAUAAUUGAUGCACAUUCAAGAAGAAAAGUCUCGUGGAAUCCAUAAGGUAAGUAGAGUUCUCUGGAGCAUGUUUAAAAAUGAAGGUAUAUUAAACUCAGAGUAUCCUGAAUGAGAUUCCAAAAUAUGUGGAGUUCUAUAGCUGAAACCUAUUUCAUAGUGGCCAAUAAAUAAUUAAGACUAACUUUUCAGCAAACUUUUUCAUACAUUCAAACACAAAAAUCUUUACCACACAUGCAGAGCUGAUAUUCUAAAACAGCGCAGGUAUGAGUCCUGGUUUCAGAAAAGCACAUUAACAAGGAUUUUUUUCCAUAGGUUCCUAUAAGAAUGUCUGAAGCUUCUAGAAAUCUUCAAAGAGGGGAUAAGUUUAGAUUUCCUACUGAUUUUGGAAGAAAGGAGAGUCUGUUUUUCCUAAGGAAGCCAGUCAUCCAUGAGCAGGAGACGUGUCUUCAG